Molecule: ribosomal RNA, 253 nt
Filed under: uncultured bacterium
Lineage: Bacteria
Description: partial 16S ribosomal RNA
Rfam family: Bacterial small subunit ribosomal RNA
Source: RNAcentral
UACGUAGGGUGCGAGCGUUGUCCGGAAUUAUUGGGCGUAAAGAGCUCGUAGGCGGUUUGUUGCGUCUAUCGUGAAAACCUGCGGCUUAACUGUGGGCUUGCGGUGGAUACGGGCAGACUUGAGUUCGGUAGGGGAGACUGGAAUUCCUGGUGUAGCGGUGAAAUGCGCAGAUAUCAGGAGGAACACCGGUGGCGAAGGCGGGUCUCUGGGCCGAUACUGACGCUGAGGCGCGAAAGCGUGGGGAGCAAACAGG